UCCAGUCAUUGGCAGCAGAGAACUGGAAGGAGAGGCAGCCAAAGAAAGAAUUGGUUUUGGGGGUGACUAUCAUUGUGAGAACUGUAAUAGAAUGACCAAGGGGGAUUUCUUCCUUCACCAUCAUACCGGAAAGAAAAUAGCACGAGCCACAUCAGAACUGGUGACGAGAAGUCGCCUGUAGCCAGAAACUAACUGGUCGGACAUGAUGUGUGCCAACUGAGGUUCCAGGGCUUGGAAGUUGGAAAGCCACUUAAGAGAGGAGUCUGAGGCUGAUAACAUCAACAGUGAGGACAAACCCAACCUGCCUCUCUCCUUCUACACCGAGUCCAAACCUACAGUCACUGGGUCCUGAUUGUGACAGUGGAGCCCAGUUUGCACUGCAGGAUCCAGAGAUGGCAUCAGUGAAGCUGGAAGACUGCAGUCAAACACUGGGGCUGAAUGUCAACAUUAAAGAUGAAGAAGAGGAGGAGAAGAUUGGGAAACCUGUUUCUCAUGGUAAGAGCAGGUUGUAAGUUUGUUGUUCGUUCAGACUUCCCACUGUGUAUGAAAAGUUGCAGUAGAACUGUUUCAUGAUGAGCUGUUUCAAUGAGAAGGUAGAUGUUACUUCAUGCUACUGAGACUUGCAUGGCUUGACACCAGUUUUGUCAGUAUUUGUUUUAUUCACUGGGCUGUCUGGCAUGUUCAGAGAGAAGACCAUACCUAAGCAGUUUUGUCAGAACAGCUAAUAUUAGUCACUCCAUCACUUAAUUGUCAUCUCAUAAAAUAAGUGGUAACAGUGGAUUGGAUCAAAUGAAGAAAGUGUAGAACACUAUUGUCAUCCUAUAGUUCCUCACUGUGAGAGAACUGUGCAGAGGAACGGGAGUGUUAUAGAAUGUUAGCCUCUCUUUACUGAUCAGUGUGCACCUUGUCAGUUUUGGUGUGUUUUGUUAUAUGUUGUACCCCAGUAAGACUAGCUUUCUCCUUUGUCGUAAUGGGGAUCCUAAUAAAUCAAAUAAAAAGUUCAAAAAAAUCAAUCUAUCGAUAAUGGUUCUCCAUAUCGGUGCUGUUCACUAGAAACAAGUGAGUCUGAUGGUUGACUGGGUGGUGCUGCUUCCCUCUAGUUUUCUGUGGGAAUGAGCUGGUAGACACAACAUGUAUCAGAUC
This is a long non-coding RNA of Oncorhynchus kisutch (coho salmon), 1143 nucleotides long. RefSeq lists it as uncharacterized. The record is from RefSeq and is a predicted model, not a curated record. The transcript has 3 exons. NCBI's taxonomy places the organism in Eukaryota, Metazoa, Chordata, Actinopteri, Salmoniformes, Salmonidae.